UACAUUAAGAUUUUUGCCUUUUCAAUUGCAGAAAACUAAUAAUUUUUUUCUUUUCUCCAAGAUGUCAUGAACAUGGGCUGCCUUGUCUCUGUGUUUUGUGUGGGUGCGUGUGUGUGUGUGUGUGUGUGUGUGAGAAACAACCACUACCACUGAGCCAUGUUGCCACACAAGACUCAUAUUUCCUUUAGUUAGAAUUGACAACAGAAAUCAAAGUAAAUACACAUGACAUGAUCACCAGGCUGUGUUUGUUAUAUAUCGUUUAACUUCUGACAUGAGCGGUAAUCCCAAAACUUUUUAAAAUCAAGGUCAACACAAAGUACAAAAAAACAGCAUACAAUGGAAUACAUAUCUACUUUCAGUUGACUUGGCACACUCUUUGAAAUUAAUGUUUUGUUUUUUAACCAUCACAAGAUUUCACAUUGAUUAAGUGACGCAAAGCACAAUGUCAUGAGGACAAACGGCCAAAUAAGUAAGCAUGAAUGACCAGUCGGUCAAUGUGUUGGAAUGAGUUCAGUUACCUCCAGGGUGGAGGAAAAUUUUUGCUGACUGCAGAACGUAAGAGUUAGCAAGCAAGCUCAGAAUUCGCCUUUAUCAAUGGAGGCCUGCGUGUCUUCCCUUGUGACGUAAUGGUAAUCUUUGCCAUUCUCUCCAGCUUGUGCAUUUCUUGUUGUAUGCGAGACGCUGAAGUCAAAGGCACCAUUGUCUUCUUCAUGAGCCUCUUGAGAAAAGUGCUUUUGCCUACCCCCCGACCAGACAGGCCGCUCUGCACUACGGGCCUAGGUCCAGUCAUAGUUGAGUAAAUCCUGGCAAAAUAUCUCAUACUCAUUGGCGAUUAUGUUCUGAAGACGCCCAUGAGGGAUUGCGUUCAUCCUAGUUUUAUUGAACGAAUGGCUAGAAAUACAAUACUGACUUCAUCAUGUCACCCGAUGUGAUUUUCUUUUAGUUUUGGGUCUGGAUUCUGUUCCAAAUUGAUUAGUAAAUUUCGAUUGCUGGGGAGACUGCAGUGUGACUCAGGCCACAAACAACAAAAGCAAGUGUACUUGUCAAGCUCAUUUGCAAUAGGAUGAGUGGGGUCAAAGCCUGUUUAGCGGGAUCAUCUGCCGUCUUGUAAAUGCACAAGAACAAUAUAAGAAGAGAUUGUUAUUCUUUGAGGAGGAUAAGAAAAGAUUAAGCCAUGCGGGUUCCUCGCUGUGUUUCUCACGUCGGUGGAGAAUGGAUAAUGUCCACCAUCCACCCUGUCGUACUUGUUAUUCCCAUGGGAAAAGACGAGUGCUGAUUUCCAGUAACAAAAGUGGACAUUUUUAAGUCAAUCAGCUCAUAAUUCAGUUUACCACUUUGCUGUAUUUAAUUUGUCACGGUAGCGUGUGCGUGUGUGUGUGUGUGUGUGUCCUCAAAGUUCGAUACUUUAAUCAACAAAAGUGCACAGUUUUAGUAUUUUGACAAUUGUCUUGUUUUGAUCACAAAUUCUAAUUAAUAAUCUAGAUCUCAUGACCCAAAUCCCCAGACAAUCUCUUACAAAGUGAUACCCUCUGUUAAAUUGGCAUGUAUUAUGCAUGCAGAAAAACACCAUUCCCGCCACCCCGCGCGACACCUAGCAGCUUAGCUUAGCGCUGACUUCAGAAGUGCCAGAUAAGUAUUUGUCAACACAACAGCUGGCACACAAUGCCCUCUUGUAGCUUUAUGCCACGGCAUAUGCCUGCCGCUCGUAGCGUGCCGUAAUUUAGCCGGGCCGCUUCUGCCUAAGCAGAUGGGCCUCGAGUAUUGUUAUUCUCGCUCCAGUUCGAGAGUCCCUGGGGGGAAUCACUAAAUAAAAUCAAAGCAGAUGGACCUCUCUGGGCUAAGGCUGUAUUUAUGAUAAACAGCCUGUACAACCAUUGUCCGUCAAACACCUUAACACACCUCUUUACUGACAAUGUGUGCCAAGUAAGACUGCAUCGGAACCUCCUUAGAUGGGUGAAAAAUCAAAAUGAUUCUUGCCUUUCGGACAGUACUUGAACAUUUGAAAGUGACUUUUGACAGGAAAGGAAACUUCUUUGCUGGUCCAUCAUGAGUCAAAAUGAUUUCCAAUCAGUAGUGUUCAUGAUUCGGAAUGAGCUAAACAAAAAUGGAAAGUUUGAAAAUACUCGCUAUGUACGUCAUAGUAAAUAGUCCUUGAAGCAGAGCUGCGGACUCACCAUUUGGUAAGAAAUGAGAAGGUACUUUCUUCCUCUCUGGUUCACAUUUUAUCACUUGUGUCCCAAAUAAGUUUGCACUAUCCUUAAGCAGCUACUAAUGUUAAUGCAAAGCAGUGGAGCUGCGGGCUCGCUCUCUGGCGUGACUACAAUCAUAAAUAAUUGUAUCAUAUUCCUUUUCAUACAUUUUGAAUGACCACUGAGUAAAAUGUGCUUACUUAUUAUACAUUUUUUGUCAAGUUCUUCCGUUUCAGCAAAGAGGCCUGUGACCAGUCUCAAGACAUAUACAGUAUAGUGCCUUUUGAAAGCACCAGCCAGCAUAUGUUGUUGCUCAUCGUAAGCCAGAUGGGCAUAAAUUGCAUACGGGCGUAAUGCGUAUCAAAUAUUUGAAAGUUGUAUCUUUCACUUAAGGUGCAAAGUGCUUUUAUGGCCCAUCACAGCUCUAAGUAUGACCCCCGGGGACUGGAGCCCAGCACCUGUGGUGUUAAGACAUUGCGGUGUGGGCGGGGGAGGGCUGCAAAGUGCAUUUGUUUCAUCUACCUGUUUGCCCUUUAUUGACUACCACCUUUGACACUUGGUAAUUUAUCGGAUGCACGCUGCCUACUGCUUUAAAUAUGGACAUAGCUUUUGUGUGUGCGUGUGUUUGUUUGUUUCCAGAUAGAUUUUAUUUGUAAAUUUUCCGUUCAGAAUUCAGUCCAGCGGUGUAUCAUCUCAGCAGGAUUGUGACAUAACAGCUGGCAUGUGUACUUUUGGCUUUAGGUGAGAUGCAUAUUGCCCCAAAACCUAACAGUCUCGUCUGUGCUCUUACAAAAAUAGCCUUUAAAAAAAUGCUUACAGAUGAUUUGAUUUGUAUGUGCACAGGCGGCCGAAAGUUUCAACCUUCUUCUGCGAACAACACACGUCAAACUCAGGUCCUCUGUCCUCCUCAAGAUGGAACAUAUCAACAUUCAAAAUCCGUUGUGUAUCGGGUAUUGGCAGGUAACAAAACACCAGCCCAUCAUGCCAUUCCACGAAGCGUCGCUUCAGCGCCACCCGCCCGCCGCAACACGCGGCGCUUUGCAAGUCAAUACAGUCAAGAGAAGCUGACAAGAGGCAAGGCGCAACGUGUAAUAAAUGACAUUUUGCCGUCAGCUCUGGCGAGCGUGCACCUGACAACCGCUGUCGUCCGCAGUCGUUUUCAUGUGACGCCUGGCUGUUAUGCGGAAAGUGGGAUUCAUUUGGCGGGACUGUCUGGCGCAGAUGCUGAUAUUACAAAUGGGCACAGCUGGAAAAGAUCCACCACCCAGGCAGACAGAGCCAGGCUCGCACCUCUCACCGCUGAUACCUCCCCCAAGCACUGGCAUCUCUCCUCCUCCCUGCUACAUGAUGCUCAUGCUCAUUCGCCGACGAAAACCCGUCUUCUCCUACGAGACAACUACUGGAGCAGACUGUUACACUGAGAAUGUGUCAGCUCUGUGAGUCCCGCUCCAAAAAGCAGCUGGAUGCCCGUCCGCCACACCCUGUUCGCCUCCUCUCAUUGGUCAGGACACUUUUUGCAGUCAAAUGGAAGGCCAGAGCACGCAUUUGGACGCCCAACCUCAGAACUACCAUAUUGCAUCUGGCCCAACCACUUCACCCCCUAAAAGCCAGGCAUCACGUGGCUGGCGCUAUCGUGUAUUGCACGACUCUGGCUUGUCAAGGUGGAAACCACCCGGUGUGCUGACACUUGCCCUCUGCGCCGCCUCAGUGACAGUAAUUUUAACGCAGCCGGGGCGGAGCGGUCCCGGAGGUGCGCCAUUAAAGUUCAGGUGAGGUUAAUUGCCGAGCAUUGUGAUGCCUGCUGCCGCGCGCCGGGGUGGCGGGUGGUUUGUUGACGCCUCCGAUUGACGAUUCAGACAUGUCGCUACUCCCGCCGGCUAGCACAGCGGGGGUUCGACCGUGGCUUUACACGGCAAAAGGCCUCCUGAUGUCAAUCAUUCCCAAACAUGCCUCCAAAUGAAAGUCCAAGAGAAAAUACUGCCCAUUCACUGCACAGCAGCAUGUGAUUCACCACAGCGGUCAAUCACAGUUCCACCGCAGUCUGUUGUGUGACACGAGCCAAACCGCCACUUUCAAACAACAUUUUUAUCCAUCCAUCAGAUGUGGAUGCUUAGCUGGAUCCUAUCCCAGCUGACUUUGGCUGAGGAUCCUCCCAGAACCGCUCUCCAACCAAUCGCAGGUCACUAAUAGACAAACAACCGUUGAAACUCAUGUUCACACGUCAGGACAAUUUAUUCAAUGAAUGGAGUACCAAUUUUUUGGUGGAGGCCGUAGUACUCAGAGAAAGGCCACACAGUAAAGUUGGAGCCAGGAUUCAAACCCUCAAAUUCACUUUCCGCAAUUCUGUUACAAAAAAAGAAAAAAAAAUGCUUUAAUUUAAUUCCCAAUUGGAAUUAAGGUACAUCGAUACCUCGACUUAGGAAAUUAAUUGGUUCAGGAAGAAUUUUUUUUUACAAGAUUUUGUAAGUAAACGCAUUUUCCAUGCAAAUGUCCU
This is a long non-coding RNA of Hippocampus zosterae (dwarf seahorse), 4683 nucleotides long. RefSeq lists it as uncharacterized. Lineage: Eukaryota; Metazoa; Chordata; Actinopteri; Syngnathiformes; Syngnathidae. The record is from RefSeq and is a predicted model, not a curated record. The transcript is spliced from 6 exons.